This 466-nucleotide ribosomal RNA is filed under the name uncultured bacterium. RNAcentral's name for it is "bacterial SSU rRNA". It matches the Rfam family "Bacterial small subunit ribosomal RNA", at positions 30 to 490 of the family's 1533-position model. The record is from RNAcentral.
AUUGAACGCUGGCGGCAUGCCUUACACAUGCAAGUCGAACGGCAGCACGGGAGCAAUCCUGGUGGCGAGUGGCGAACGGGUGAGUAAUAUAUCGGAACGUGCCCAGUCGUGGGGAUAACGUAGCGAAAGCUACGCUAAUACCGCAUACGAUCUAUGGAUGAAAGCGGGGGAUCGCAAGACCUCGCGCGAUUGGAGCGGCCGAUAUCAGAUUAGGUAGUUGGUGAGGUAAAGGCUCACCAAGCCGACGAUCUGUAGCUGGUCUGAGAGGACGACCAGCCACACUGGGACUGAGACACGGCCCAGACUCCUACGGGAGGCAGCAGUGGGAAUAUUGGACAAUGGGCGAAAGCCUGAUCCAGCCAUGCCGCGUGUGUGAAGAAGGUCUUCGGAUUGUAAAGCACUUUAAGUUGGGUAGGAAGGGUAGUAACCUAAUACGUUGCUACUUUGACGUUACCGACAGAAUAAG